This 253-nucleotide unclassified non-coding RNA is filed under the name uncultured Hymenobacteraceae bacterium. RNAcentral's name for it is "contains 16S-23S intergenic spacer region". It matches the Rfam family "Bacterial small subunit ribosomal RNA", at positions 524 to 776 of the family's 1533-position model. The record is from RNAcentral. Lineage: Bacteria; Pseudomonadati; Bacteroidota; Cytophagia; Cytophagales; Hymenobacteraceae.
UACGGAGGGUGCAAGCGUUGUCCGGAUUUAUUGGGUUGAAAGGGAGCGUAGGCGGCCUGAUAAUUCAGCGGUGAAAUCCCACGGCUCAACCGUGGAACUGCCGUUGAUACUGUCAGGCUUGAGUUCGGUCGAGGCGGGCGGAACUGGUGGUGUAGCGGUGAAAUGCAUAGAUACCACCAAGAACCCCGCUUGCGAAGGCAGCUCGCUGGGCCGAAACUGACGCUGAGGCACGAAAGCGUGGGGAGCGAACAGG